CCUCGUGCUGCUUCACGAACCACCAGUGGUACGCGUGCCACAGUUUGAGAACCACUGGUCUAGAAGGUCGCGGUCGAGAAGAAGAUGGUACAUCAUCUCCAUACUGUUCCCUACUGGAGUAGCCUGGAUCAGACUGCAUUUCUGCUGAUGCCAUAUAGCCAGAGCCCAUGUCCUGCCUGUCAAUGAAUUCAUCAAUGCAAUCAAACAAAAUGCCUGGUAACACUGGUCACAGGCCUGCAAGUUGGGACGGUAAAGCAUUUACCACUUUGUAAUGUUGCCAUUCCUUCUCACAACACUUAAAAGACAAUUUGGCACCAAGAACACCAAGCAAUAAAGUUAAAUUUGUUUUA
Molecule: long non-coding RNA, 350 nt
Organism: Trichomycterus rosablanca
Lineage: Eukaryota; Metazoa; Chordata; Actinopteri; Siluriformes; Trichomycteridae
Exons: 3
Source: RefSeq, a predicted model, not a curated record